This 327-nucleotide ribosomal RNA is filed under the name uncultured eukaryote. Its description in RNAcentral is "partial 18S ribosomal RNA". It matches the Rfam family "Eukaryotic small subunit ribosomal RNA", at positions 1470 to 1796 of the family's 1831-position model. The record is from RNAcentral.
CCCUUAGAUGUUCUGGGCUGCACGCGCGCUACACUGAUGCGCUCAACGAGUUUUAACCUUGCCUGGAAAGGUUGGGUAAUCUUUUUAAAACGCAUCGUGAUGGGGAUAGAUUAUUGCAAUUAUUAAUCUUCAACGAGGAAUGCCUAGUAGGCGCAAGUCAUCAGCUUGCGUCGAUUACGUCCCUGCCCUUUGUACACACCGCCCGUCGCUCCUACCGAUUGGGUGUGCUGGUGAAAUGUUCGGAUCGGCCGUUUGUCGCGGUUUCCACGUCAUGUGGCUGAGAAGUUCAUUAAACCCUCCCACCUAGAGGAAGGAGAAGUCGUAACA